AACGAACGCUGGCGGCAUGCCUAACACAUGCAAGUCGAACGAGACCUUCGGGUCUAGUGGCGCACGGGUGCGUAACGCGUGGGAACCUGCCCUUAGGUUCGGAAUAACUCCCCGAAAGGGGUGCUAAUACCGGAUAAUGUCUCCGGACCAAAGAUUUAUCGCCCUUGGAUGGGCCCGCGUUGGAUUAGCUAGUUGGUAGGGUAAAAGCCUACCAAGGCGACGAUCCAUAGCUGGUCUGAGAGGAUGAUCAGCCACACUGGGACUGAGACACGGCCCAGACUCCUACGGGAGGCAGCAGUGGGGAAUAUUGGACAAUGGGCGAAAGCCUGAUCCAGCAAUGCCGCGUGAGUGAUGAAGGCCUUAGGGUUGUAAAGCUCUUUUACCCGGGAUGAUAAUGACAGUACCGGGAGAAUAAGCUCCGGCUAACUCCGUG
Molecule: ribosomal RNA, 433 nt
Filed under: uncultured bacterium
Lineage: Bacteria
Description: partial 16S ribosomal RNA
Rfam family: Bacterial small subunit ribosomal RNA
Source: RNAcentral